UCAAGCUUUAGAGUCCUCUUCAUUGUGAAAGGAUCUUGAAUCCAGAAGGCUACUAGAUUUUACAAUUUUCACUGUUUGUGAAAAUAGUCUAAAUGAUAUUGGAGACUAACGCAGGAUUUUUCCCAUUGUUUCAGGGUGAAACUAGUCAAUGGGUGACUGUAACAUUUAGCUCUCCAAAUGCAUCGAAUAAUGAUUGGAUUGGAGUCUUUUCUCCAGCAAGUGAUGUAAAAAAGUUCCUGGUACUGAAAUUUCCAGUGGUUCCACUUGUCCUCCAUAUGGGAAUCUUGCACCUCUACUGUGUUCUGCUCCCAUUAAGGUUUUUGCCCCUAGCCUUGGUUUAGUCUUGUUCUUACAGUAUGGUUCCAAUGCAAAACUACCUAUUUGUUGAAAUGUCGCUACAAUCAUCUAAUGGAAGAACUUAUGAUUGUUGAGUAAAUGUAAACUUCAAUUUUUGUUCUUGUGCAGUACCAAUUUGCAAAUUACUCCACUGCAGACUACA
Long non-coding RNA from Telopea speciosissima, 499 nucleotides. RefSeq lists it as uncharacterized. Lineage: Eukaryota; Viridiplantae; Streptophyta; Magnoliopsida; Proteales; Proteaceae. The transcript has 2 exons. The record is from RefSeq and is a predicted model, not a curated record.